Molecule: ribosomal RNA, 109 nt
Filed under: Pelobates cultripes (western spadefoot toad)
Lineage: Eukaryota; Metazoa; Chordata; Amphibia; Anura; Pelobatidae
Source: RNAcentral
GCCUAUGGCCAUACGAGUCUGAAAGUUUCAGAUCUCUGAAGUCAUGCAGACUUGGGCCUGCUUAGUACUUGUAUGUGAGACUAACUAGGAACCUCAGGAGCCGUAAGCU